CAGCAGGCGCGAAAACUUUACAAUGCUGGAAACAGCGAUAAGGGGACCUCGAGUGCCAGGUUACAAAUCUGGCUGUCGUGAUGCCUAAAAAGCAUUGCAUAGCAAGGGCCGGGCAAGACCGGUGCCAGCCGCCGCGGUAACACCGGCGGCUCGAGUGGUAACCGUUAUUAUUGGGUCUAAAGGGUCUGUAGCCGGCCGGAUAAGUCUCUUGGGAAAUCCAGCAGCUCAACUGUUGGGCUUUCAGGAGAUACUGUCUGGCUCGAGGCCGGGAGAGGUGAGAGGUACUUCAGGGGUAGGGGUGAAAUCUUGUAAUCCUCGAAGGACCACCAGUGGCGAAGGCGUCUCACCAGAACGGACCUGACGGCAAGGGACGAAAGCUAGGGGCACGAACCGGAUUAGAUACCCGGGUAGUCCUAGCCGUAAACGAUACUCGCUAGGUGUCGGCCACGGUGCGACCGUUGUCGGUGCCGUAGGGAAGCCGUGAAGCGAGCCACCUGGGAAGUACGGCCGCAAGGCUGAAACUUAAAGGAAUUGGCGGGGGAGCAC
Molecule: ribosomal RNA, 546 nt
Filed under: uncultured archaeon
Lineage: Archaea
Description: bacterial SSU rRNA
Rfam family: Archaeal small subunit ribosomal RNA
Source: RNAcentral